ACAUCCAGCGAACUUGGCAGAGAUGCCUCGGUGCCUUCGGGAACGCUGAGACAGGUGCUGCAUGGCUGUCGUCAGCUCGUGUUGUGAAAUGUUGGGUUAAGUCCCGNAACGAGCGCAACCCUUAUCCUUUGUUGCCAGCGAUUCGGUCGGGAACUCAAAGGAGACUGCCGGUGAUAAACCGGAGGAAGUGGGGAUGACGUCAAGUCAUCAUGGCCCUUACGAGUAGGGCUACACACGUGCUACAAUGGCGCAUACAAAGAGAAGCGACCUCGCGAGAGCAAGCGGACCUCAUAAAGUGCGUCGUAGUCCGGAUCGGAGUCUGCAACUCGACUCCGUGAAGUCGGAAUCGCUAGUAAUCGUGGAUCAGAAUGCCACGGUGAAUACGUUCCCGGGCCUUGUACACACCGCCCGUCACACCAUGGGAGUGGGUUGCAAAAGAAGUAGGUAGCUUAACCUUCGGGAGGGCGCUUACCACUUUGUGAUUCAUGACUGGGGUGAAGUCGUAACAAGGUAGGCGUAGCGAG
RNAcentral lists this ribosomal RNA (524 nucleotides) under uncultured bacterium. RNAcentral's name for it is "bacterial SSU rRNA". It matches the Rfam family "Bacterial small subunit ribosomal RNA", at positions 984 to 1509 of the family's 1533-position model. The record is from RNAcentral.